RNAcentral lists this ribosomal RNA (465 nucleotides) under uncultured bacterium. RNAcentral's name for it is "partial 16S ribosomal RNA". It matches the Rfam family "Bacterial small subunit ribosomal RNA", at positions 338 to 795 of the family's 1533-position model. The record is from RNAcentral.
CCUACGGGAGGCAGCAGUAGGGAAUCUUCCACAAUGGGCGAAAGCCUGAUGGAGCAACGCCGCGUGGGUGAAGAAGGUCUUCGGAUCGUAAAACCCUGUUGUUAGAGAAGAACGCGCGUGAUAGUAACUGUUCACGUUUCGACGGUAUCUAACCAGAAAGCCACGGCUAACUACGUGCCAGCAGCCGCGGUAAUACGAAGGUGGCAAGCGUUAUCCGGAUUUAGUGGGUGUAAAGGGAGCGCAGGCGGUUAUGUAAGUCUGGAGUGAAAGCCCGGGGCGCAACCCCGGAAGUGCAUUGGAAACUGUGUAACUGGAGUAAAGGAGGGGCGGGCGGAAGUCCAGGUGUAGCGGUGAAAUGCGUAGAUAUCAGGAGGAACACCGGCGGCGAAGGCGGCCUGCUGGACUGGAACUGACGUUGAGGCUCGAAAGCGUGGGGAGCAAACAGGAUUAGAUACCCUAGUAGUC